GACGAACGCUGGCGGCGUGCUUAACACAUGCAAGUCGAACGGAAAGGCCCUGCUUUUGUGGGGUGCUCGAGUGGCGAACGGGUGAGUAACACGUGAGUAACCUGCCCUUGACUUUGGGAUAACUUCAGGAAACUGGGGCUAAUACCGGAUAGGAGCUCCUGCUGCAUGGUGGGGGUUGGAAAGUUUCGGCGGUUGGGGAUGGACUCGCGGCUUAUCAGCUUGUUGGUGGGGUAGUGGCUUACCAAGGCUUUGACGGGUAGCCGGCCUGAGCGGGUGACCGGCCCCAUUGGAACUGGGAUACGACCCAGACUCCUACGGGAGGCAGCGGUGGGGAAUAUUGCACAGUGGGCGGAAGCCUGAUGCAACAACGCCGCGUGCGGGAUGACGGCCUUCGGGUUGUAAACCGCUUUCGCCUGUGACGAGGCGUGAGUGACGGUAAUGGGUAAAGAAGCACCGGCUAACUACGUG
RNAcentral lists this ribosomal RNA (468 nucleotides) under uncultured bacterium. Its description in RNAcentral is "partial 16S ribosomal RNA". It matches the Rfam family "Bacterial small subunit ribosomal RNA", at positions 28 to 507 of the family's 1533-position model. The record is from RNAcentral.